This 506-nucleotide ribosomal RNA is filed under the name Fusarium incarnatum. RNAcentral's name for it is "eukaryotic LSU rRNA". The stretch from base 160 to 313 matches the Rfam family "5.8S ribosomal RNA". Lineage: Eukaryota; Fungi; Ascomycota; Sordariomycetes; Hypocreales; Nectriaceae. The record is from RNAcentral.
AGGGAUCAUUACCGAGUUUACAACUCCCAAACCCCUGUGAACAUACCUAUACGUUGCCUCGGCGGAUCAGCCCGCGCCCCGUAAAACGGGACGGCCCGCCCGAGGACCCUAAACUCUGUUUUUAGUGGAACUUCUGAGUAAAACAAACAAAUAAAUCAAAACUUUCAACAACGGAUCUCUUGGUUCUGGCAUCGAUGAAGAACGCAGCAAAAUGCGAUAAGUAAUGUGAAUUGCAGAAUUCAGUGAAUCAUCGAAUCUUUGAACGCACAUUGCGCCCGCCAGUAUUCUGGCGGGCAUGCCUGUUCGAGCGUCAUUUCAACCCUCAAGCUCAGCUUGGUGUUGGGACUCGCGGUAACCCGCGUUCCCCAAAUCGAUUGGCGGUCACGUCGAGCUUCCAUAGCGUAGUAAUCAUACACCUCGUUACUGGUAAUCGUCGCGGCCACGCCGUAAAACCCCAACUUCUGAAUGUUGACCUCGGAUCAGGUAGGAAUACCCGCUGAACUUAA